GUUUGGGAGAGUUCUGAAAAAUUCUAACAAGCCUUCUUUGUUUAUCUUCUCUAGGCUUCCGCAGCCGGUCUGCAUGUAGUUGGGAUAAAUUCAGCCCAGGAGGAAAAUCAGCGCUGCCUCCCCCUCUCUCCUCCCAUUUUAGGUGAGAGGAGGAGGUGCCGUGGGGGUAGAGAAAGAUCUGGAGAGCUCGCCAGCUGGUCUAGACGUUUCCCUUCUGCAUAAUCAAAUCCCUUCUGAAUCAAUCCACGGUUGGUAGGGCCAGUGCACUUGGAAGCUCGAGUGUGUAUCUGAGUAAGGACCGCAUAGAUGCUACCUCAGGAGGAAGAGGGUAGACCCAUAAAGACAGGGCUGGGGCCUAGGUAGAUCAUGCAGAUUGAAGUAUCCUGCAAGCAGCUUUGCCAGCUGUGAGCUGUACAUAUCAAGAGGCUGAGACCAUCAGAGAGAUCGAGCUCAGCUGAUCACAGAUGUCUUUUAUUUGUUGUAUGCUAAAACUCUGGCUAUAGUGUUAAUUGCUAUUAAAAACUGUGGCCCUGGGUCUUUUCUGUAGG
RNAcentral lists this long non-coding RNA (548 nucleotides) under Mus pahari (shrew mouse). RNAcentral describes it as "chimerin 1, opposite strand 3 (MGP_PahariEiJ_G0003306.1)". Lineage: Eukaryota; Metazoa; Chordata; Mammalia; Rodentia; Muridae. The record is from RNAcentral.